Molecule: ribosomal RNA, 420 nt
Filed under: uncultured Nitrososphaerota archaeon
Lineage: Archaea; Thermoproteati; Nitrososphaerota
Description: bacterial SSU rRNA
Rfam family: Archaeal small subunit ribosomal RNA
Source: RNAcentral
CAGCCGCCGCGGUAAAACCAGCACCUCAAGUGGUCAGGAUGAUUAUUGGGCCUAAAGCAUCCGUAGCCUGCUUUGUUAGUUUUCGGUUAAAUCCAUACGCUCAACGUAUGGGCUGCCGGGAAUACUGCAAAGCUAGGGAGUGGGAGAGGUAGACGGUACUCGGUAGGAAGGGGUAAAAUCCUUUGAUCUAUUGAUGACCACCUGUGGCGAAGGCGGUCUACCAGAACACGUCCGACGGUGAGGGAUGAAAGCUGGGGGAGCAAACCGGAUUAGAUACCCGGGUAGUCCCAGCUGUAAACUAUGCAAACUCGGUGAUGCAUUGGCUUGAUGCCAAUGCAGUGCCGCAGGGAAGCCGUUAAGUUUGCCGCCUGGGAAGUACGUACGCAAGUAUGAAACUUAAAGGAAUUGGCGGGGGAGCAC